RNAcentral lists this ribosomal RNA (441 nucleotides) under uncultured bacterium. RNAcentral describes it as "bacterial SSU rRNA". It matches the Rfam family "Bacterial small subunit ribosomal RNA", at positions 958 to 1393 of the family's 1533-position model. The record is from RNAcentral.
AACGCGAAGAACCUUACCAAGGCUUGACAUACACCGGAAAGCAUUAGAGAUAGUGCCCCCCUUGUGGUCGGUGUACAGGUGGUGCAUGGCUGUCGUCAGCUCGUGUCGUGAGAUGUUGGGUUAAGUCCCGCAACGAGCGCAACCCUUGUCCCGUGUUGCCAGCAGGCCCUUGUGGUGCUGGGGACUCACGGGAGACCGCCGGGGUCAACUCGGAGGAAGGUGGGGACGACGUCAAGUCAUCAUGCCCCUUAUGUCUUGGGCUGCACACGUGCUACAAUGGCCGGUACAAUGAGCUGCGAUACCGCGAGGUGGAGCGAAUCUCAAAAAGCCGGUCUCAGUCCGGAUUGGGGUCUGCAACUCGACCCCAUGAAGUCGGAGUCGCUAGUAAUCGCAGAUCAGCAUUGCUGCGGUGAAUACGUUCCCGGGCCUUGUACACACCGA